CCUACGGGAGGCUGCAGUAGGGCAUAUUGCUCAAUGGGGGAAACCCUGAAGCAGCAACGCCGCGUGGAGGAUGAAGGUUUUCGGAUUGUAAACUCCUUUUGUUAGAGAAGAUAAUGACGGUAUCUAACGACUAAGCACCGGCUAACUCCGUGCCAGCAGCCGCGGUAAUACGGAGGGUGCAAGCGUUACUCGGAAUCACUGGGCGUAAAGAGCGCGUAGGCGGGAUAGCAAGUCAGAUGUGAAAUCCUAUGGCUUAACCAUGGAACUGCAUUUGAAACUGUUAUUCUAGAGUAGGGAAGAGGGAGUUGGAAUUCUUGGUGGAGGGGAAAAAUCCGUAGAGA
Molecule: ribosomal RNA, 341 nt
Filed under: uncultured bacterium
Lineage: Bacteria
Description: partial 16S ribosomal RNA
Rfam family: Bacterial small subunit ribosomal RNA
Source: RNAcentral